Mercurialis annua (annual mercury) is the source of this 116-nucleotide small nuclear RNA. RefSeq annotates it as U5 spliceosomal RNA. The record is from RefSeq and is a predicted model, not a curated record. NCBI's taxonomy places the organism in Eukaryota, Viridiplantae, Streptophyta, Magnoliopsida, Malpighiales, Euphorbiaceae. The transcript has a single exon.
AGCCAUGCGAUAAGCACAAAGCGAACUAUUCUUUCGCCUUUUACUAAAGAAUACCGUGUGCUUGUCGUUUUUAAUGGCAUACGCAAAUUUUUGAAAGGGAUGCUCUUGUCUGAGCU